This 624-nucleotide ribosomal RNA is filed under the name uncultured archaeon. RNAcentral's name for it is "bacterial SSU rRNA". It matches the Rfam family "Archaeal small subunit ribosomal RNA", at positions 147 to 776 of the family's 1478-position model. The record is from RNAcentral.
UAAUACCCUAUAGAUUACAGAUGCUGGAAUGCCCUGUAAUCAAAAGUUCCGACGCCUUAGGAUGGAUCUGCGGCCGAUUAGGUUGUUGUUGGGGUAAUGGCCCAACAAGCCAGUAAUCGGUACGGGUUGUGGGAGCAAGAGCCCGGAGUUGGAUUCUGAGACACGAAUCCAGGCCCUACGGGGCGCAGCAGGCGCGAAAACUUUACAAUGCGGGCAACCGUGAUAAGGGAACCUCGAGUGCCUGUAUACGCAGGCUGUCCAGGUGCCUAAAACACACCUGAAGAAAGGGCCGGGCAAGACCGGUGCCAGCCGCCGCGGUAAUACCGGCGGCUCGAGUGGUGGCCGCUUUUAUUGGGCUUAAAGCGUUCGUAGCUGGUUUGUUAAGUCUCUUGGGAAAUCUGGCGGCUUAACCGUCAGGCGUCUAAGGGAUACUGGCAAUCUUGGAACCGGGAGGGGUGAGGGGUACUUCGGGGGUAGGAGUGAAAUCCUGUAAUCCUCGAGGGACCACCUGUGGCGAAGGCGCCUCACCAGAACGGCUUCGACAGUGAGGGACGAAAGCUGGGGGAGCAAACCGGAUUAGAUACCCGGGUAGUCCCAGCCGUAAACUAUGCGCGUUAGGUGUAU